CGCGGCCUAUCAGCUUGUUGGUGGGGUUGUGGCCUACCAAGGCGACGACGGGUAGCCGGCCUGAGAGGGUGACCGGCCACACUGGGACUGAGACACGGCCCAGACUCCUACGGGAGGCAGCAGUGGGGAAUCUUGCGCAAUGGGCGAAAGCCUGACGCAGCGACGCCGCGUGGGGGAUGAAGGCCUUCGGGUUGUAAACCUCUUUCAGCAGGGAAGAAGCGAAAGUGACGGUACCUGCAGAAGAAGCACCGGCUAACUACGUGCCAGCAGCCGCGGUAAUACGUAGGGUGCAAGCGUUGUCCGGAAUUAUUGGGCGUAAAGAGCUCGUAGGUGGCGGGUCACGUCGGGUGUGAAAGCCCGGGGCUUAACCCCGGGUCUGCAUUCGAUACGGGCUUGCUAGGGUCCGGCAGGGGAGACUGGAAUUCCUGGUGUAGCGGUGAAAUGCGCAGAUAUCAGGAGGAACACCGGUGGCGAAGGCGGGUCUCUGGGCCGGUACCGACGCUGAGGAGCGAAAGCGUGGGGAGCGAACAGGAUUAGAUACCCUGGUAGUCCACGCCGUAAACGUUGGGCGCCAGGUGUGGGGAGCAUUCCACGUUCUCUGUGCCGUAGCUAACGCAUUAAGCGCCCCGCCUGGGGAGUACGG
RNAcentral lists this ribosomal RNA (643 nucleotides) under uncultured bacterium. Its description in RNAcentral is "bacterial SSU rRNA". It matches the Rfam family "Bacterial small subunit ribosomal RNA", at positions 232 to 885 of the family's 1533-position model. The record is from RNAcentral.